GACGAACGCUGGCGGCGUGCUUAACACAUGCAAGUCGAACGGAAAGGCCCUGCUUGCAGGGUACUCGAGUGGCGAACGGGUGAGUAACACGUGGGUGAUCUGCCCUGCACUUCGGGAUAAGCCUGGGAAACUGGGUCUAAUACCGGAUAGGAGCCAUUCUUAGUGUGAUGGUUGGAAAGUUUUUUCGGUGUAGGAUGAGCUCGCGGCCUAUCAGCUUGUUGGUGGGGUAAUGGCCUACCAAGGCGGCGACGGGUAGCCGGCCUGAGAGGGUGGACGGCCACAUUGGGACUGGGAUACGGCCCAGACUCCUACGGGAGGCAGCAGUGGGGAAUAUUGCACAAUGGGCGCAAGCCUGAUGCAGCGACGCCGCGUGGGGGAUGACGGCCUUCGGGUUGUAAACUCCUUUCGCUAGGGACGAAGCUGUUUGUGACGGUACCUAGAUAAGAAGCACCGGCUAACUACGUG
This 465-nucleotide ribosomal RNA is filed under the name uncultured bacterium. RNAcentral's name for it is "partial 16S ribosomal RNA". It matches the Rfam family "Bacterial small subunit ribosomal RNA", at positions 28 to 507 of the family's 1533-position model. The record is from RNAcentral.